This 776-nucleotide ribosomal RNA is filed under the name uncultured Neocallimastigales. RNAcentral describes it as "partial large subunit ribosomal RNA". It matches the Rfam family "Eukaryotic large subunit ribosomal RNA", at positions 22 to 644 of the family's 3401-position model. The record is from RNAcentral. Lineage: Eukaryota; Fungi; Neocallimastigomycota; Neocallimastigomycetes; Neocallimastigales.
CUAUACAUGACUCUGCGCAUAUCAAUAAGCGGAGGAAAAGAAACUAACAAGGAUUCCCUUAGUAACGGCGAGUGAAGCGGGAAGAGCUCAAAUUUGAAAUCUUCAAGGUUCUACCUUGACGAAUUGUAGUUUAUAGAAGUGUUUUCUGUUAGUAGAGUGGCAAAAGUUCUUUGGAAUAGGACAUCAUAGAGGGUGAGAAUCCCGUAUUUGACCGUUACUUUCUAGCUUUGUGAUACACUUUCAACGAGUCGGAUUGUUUGGGAAUGACAGUCCAAAAUGGGUGGUAAAUUUCAUCUAAAGCUAAAUAUUGGCGAGAGACCGAUAGCGAACAAGUACCGUGAGGGAAAGAUGAAAAGAACUUUGAAAAGAGAGUUAAACAGUACGUGAAAUUGUCAAAAGGGAAGCGUUUGACACCAGUGUUGUUUUUCCGAAAAUCAAUUACGAAUGUUUUAUUUUUGAGAAGUUAUGACUUCAUCGGCUUGCUUCUUUCUUUACGAAACUUUCUUAAUGCACUUUUCGGUUAACGAGUCAACAUCAAUUUCUUUUGUUGUAAAAGGGUAUGAGGAAGGUGGCUUUCUUUUCGGAGAAAGUGUUUAUAGCCUUGUGCCUCUGCAAUCGGAGAGAUUGAGGUCUGCAGCGUAGAUCCUUCGGGGUUAGAUACAUUUAUGCUAAGUUAUAGCUCUUCAUAGACAACUUGUUGACUAUGUUUAGUCAUGUAGCUUACUCGUAAGUGCUAUUUUACCUACGCUUAGGAUGUUGAUAGUCACAGCGUGUAC